GACGAACGCUGGCGGCGUGCUUAACACAUGCCAGUCGAACGGAAAGGCCCUGCUUUUGUGGGUUGCUCGAGUGGCGAACGGGUGAGUAACACGCGAGUAACCUGCCCUUGACUGUGGGAUAACUUCAGGAAACUGGGGCUAAUACCGGAUAGAAGCUCCUGCUGCAUGGUGGGGGUUGGAAAGUUUCGGCGGUUGGGGAUGGACUCGCUGCUUAUCAGCUUGUUGGGGGGGUAGUGGCUUACCAAGGCUUUGACGGGUAGCCGGCCUGGGAGGGUGACCGGGGACAAGGGGACUGAGAGACGGCCCAGAAUCCUACGGGAGGCAGCAGUGGGGAAUAUUGCAGAAUGGGCGGAAGUCUGAUGCAGAAACGCCGCGAGCGGGAUGACCGCUUUCGGGGUGUAAACCGCUUUCGACUGUGACGAAGCGUGAGUGACGGUAAUGGGUAAAGAAGCACCGGCUAACUACGUG
This 468-nucleotide ribosomal RNA is filed under the name uncultured bacterium. RNAcentral's name for it is "partial 16S ribosomal RNA". It matches the Rfam family "Bacterial small subunit ribosomal RNA", at positions 28 to 507 of the family's 1533-position model. The record is from RNAcentral.